UGUGUGUGUGUGUGUUAUAUGUACAUUUGUGAAUAUACAUGCACAUGUGGAACCAACCUUAUCUGCCCGGCUCCAAAUAGCUUUAGGAGGUGGCUCUCCUGUGAUAGGAAUCUCGAGACGAAGCUUAUUUCCUGCGAUCACUGUCACUGUAUUAUCAGCAUCCAGGCCAUCCAGGAUGAUCUUAGGAGGAUCUGGAAUAUUAAGCAUAUCAGUUAUUUCCAUGGGAAUGUUUCACCUAGUACUAAGCCUAAAAUUUGGGGUGCCAACCAAUGUUGUAUCUGACCAAAAAAAAUUUAAGAAAGAUGGACAUAGCUGGUGACUGGGACCUUGUAAAGUUAUUUUAUUCUAAGAUUUGAGAAGCAACUUUUUAUGAUUAGUGAUUAAUAUCAAUUAAUGUAAUUUUUCUCUAAAUGGCUUGAACAUAUUACAACCCCAGGAUAAGAAAAGUGAACAAAAAUGCAACUCUGUAAUGAUCGAUGAUCGGUUGUAUCUACUUACCAAUAACAUGAACUUUGGCAGGCAAAGUAAUAUUAUAGGCAUCUGGUGUAAAUACAUAAUCACCUUCAUCUUCAAUGAGAGCACUGGCUAUGACUAACUUGUGGAUUCUGGAGAAAGAAGAGAAAAAUAUCUCUACAACUGUACAAAGAUUUAGAUCAUCUAAGACUCAAACUGCAAAGACACCUGGUCUUGGUCUGGUUAACUUCUUUAGCUCAGUCUAGGAAGAAAGAGAGGAGGAGGGAAGGGAGAGAAACGUGAAGACUUCAUUAUCUUCUUUAUUGACCCAAAUUGGAUCUCAUGUUUGGAUGACGCAGAAACUCCUCAUAAACGCAACUUGCUUCUUAUGCCAUCUAGGAAGAGGGAAAGUGGCAAUGGAACCCACCUUCACCGUGGCCCACCCAGCUUGCUCACCUCCCUUUGUGAACAACCUUCAGCCGAUCACUCUCCUGAACAGCGAUCCUGAUUCAUCUCACACAGACACUCAGCUAGAAUGGAAUCCAGCUAACGAGUUUCCAAU
Ochotona curzoniae (black-lipped pika) is the source of this 1015-nucleotide long non-coding RNA. RefSeq lists it as uncharacterized. The record is from RefSeq and is a predicted model, not a curated record. NCBI's taxonomy places the organism in Eukaryota, Metazoa, Chordata, Mammalia, Lagomorpha, Ochotonidae. The transcript has 2 exons.